Anoplopoma fimbria (sablefish) is the source of this 296-nucleotide long non-coding RNA. RefSeq lists it as uncharacterized. Lineage: Eukaryota; Metazoa; Chordata; Actinopteri; Perciformes; Anoplopomatidae. The record is from RefSeq and is a predicted model, not a curated record. The transcript is spliced from 3 exons.
GGUUCAGUUGUGUGGUUUGGUAGGAGCUGAUAGAAGUGACAGGGUUUGCAGUGUCACUGGACUACUACUUUGGCUGAAGCCAUGGGGUUUCUCUUGAGAUGGCUUCUGUUGUCCUUGCUAGCUGUUGGAAGACAUCAAGCCCAUGGUCUCAGUAUUGGAUCUGCUAAGAAGCAUGGAGAUAAAGAAGUACCAGUUUCAGGCUAUCAACCAUAUUCAAGUGGAUCUAACACUGGAGUAAGCUCUUUAAAAAGCGCUUGGCUUCUUGGUGGUGAUGAUGGUUUAACCUCUCAUGCAUA